AGAGUAUGAAGAAGGGGUGGGAGAGAUCAGGGGGAAGCUCUGCUUCAGCUGUGGGGCCACAGAAGGCGGGACUCGGUGAAGAUCUCCACCAUGGCCUGGUCCCCUCUCCUCCUCACCCUCAUCGCUCUCUGCACAGGAUCCUGGGCCCAGUCUCUGACCCAGCCCGCCUCAGUGUCUGGGACCCUGGGCCAGACAGUCACCAUCUCCUGCUCUGGAAGCAGCUCCAACAUCGGGUAUAGUUAUAGUGCUGUGGGCUGGUACCAACAGAUCCCAGGAACAGCCCCCAAAACCCUCAUCUAUGGUAAUAACAAACGAGCCUCAGGGGUCCCAGAUCGAUUCUCUGGCUCCAAGUCUGGCAACACAGCCACCCUGACCAUCUCUGGGCUUCAGGCUGAGGACGAGGCCGAUUAUUACUGUGGUUCCUAUUACAGCAGUGAUAGUAGUGACACAGUGAUGCAGGCCCAUGGGGAAGUGAGACAAAAACCUGCUGUGCCCUCAGCCAAGGGGCUUCCCUGUGCAGCCCCCACUCCUCGGCCACGUCUGCUGCUUCCUUUGUUUGUGUGGCCAAAAGCAGCUCUGAUACUCAGUUCAGGGAGCUUUCUCUUGAACAUGUGUGCUCAUGCUCUCAACGUCUGCCCCCACAACUGGUCCUUGGUUUCAAUCCAUUUUCUGUUUUUCUCUAAUCGAGUAGACAUUCCUGGAUGCUGGGGCAGGCUGCCCUGGGGACAGAGUCCACCAGGGGUAUGUGAGUCUGCCAGGGCUGCCAUAACAUAAUACCACAGAUGGGGC
Equus caballus (horse) is the source of this 789-nucleotide non-coding RNA. NCBI's taxonomy places the organism in Eukaryota, Metazoa, Chordata, Mammalia, Perissodactyla, Equidae. The record is from the annotation of a RefSeq genome assembly.